This is a long non-coding RNA of Pistacia vera, 485 nucleotides long. RefSeq lists it as uncharacterized. The record is from RefSeq and is a predicted model, not a curated record. NCBI's taxonomy places the organism in Eukaryota, Viridiplantae, Streptophyta, Magnoliopsida, Sapindales, Anacardiaceae. The transcript has 2 exons.
CCUAAUUCCUUUUUCUAUUUAAAGAAUCUAUGAUAAUACAUGGAUUGUAAAAGUAUUUGCUUUAUUACUUGCAAUAAGUCUUAUACAAAAUGUUUAAUUCAUGAUGAUUUCUUCUUUAGGUAUUCAAGUGUACAGGAAGUUUUACACAGAAGAGAAGGAAAAGUCCAAUGGUGUCCUUGCUAUUUGUGUUGCAAAAUGGCCUGUCCAGCCCUUCUUUCAUAUGGCUAGAAUUCUCUCUGGAUUGAGUUAUGAAGGUCUUCAAAGCCUUCUAAGUCUCUAUGAUCGCACUUCAAAGGUUGCAGAUUCAUUGCUUCAAGCAAGACUUAGAUCUGAGCCAACUGUGACAAUGAUGUGAUAAUUUGUUUGUUUUCUUUCCGUAUUUGCGUACAUAGCCUUUGUCAAGAAAUUCUGUCAUAUUCAAUUGCAAAUUUGAGACUUUAACAUUUUUAACACAAAAUAGAGAAAUUCAUUCUUUGUUAGUUUUA